AACCGCAGAGCUGAGGCCAGUGCAGACUCCUCUGCCUCCUACCGCCCAGGGCAAGCUUAGGAGGGUCCUAAACCUGCCUAAAUUGCCAGGGCAACUGUGAGGCAAUGCACAGAAGCUCACUCGGCCACAGGGUGACACAGUGGACCCACGCAGAGCCAAGGAAGCUGCACAGAGACAGGCUGAUGCUAUUGAAAGUUCAUAUGGAUCAGGUGAUUUUACUGUGAAAGGCUUCCUCCACAGGCUGAGCAUCCAAUGACUGGGCAAAAUUCCACUGGGCUCUUCUAGACUUUUUCCAAGGACUAUUUCUGGAAACAAACUUCAACAUUCCCAGAAAGUCACAUGAAGAGUUCACACUGAGUCUCAGAGGAACCAAUGAACAAAAUCUGGGACUGUAAAGACCAUGAAGUCCUUUGAAGAGUGACUAAGCGUAUUGUACACUGAGAUGCACAGGAGCCUGUAGAAACUAAGACAUUUGGAACAGCAGGAUGCCAUUGAGAAGAGGUUGGAAAUGUUAAAGCUGGCUCUCAAGAGAGGUAUGAAUGUCCUACCUCAAAAGUUGCUGUCAUAUGUGAGACAAGAUGGUGGUGGCAGGAACAGGAUUUCCCUUAACUGCACUUUGGAGUGGAUGACAGUUCUGACAUUGCAGAAAAUGCCUGGAUAUUUUUCCAUGUUGGAAAAGAAAGUUGGAAAGCUUAAGCAAAUUAUACGGGUCUGAGCAAGUUAUAUAAGAAGCCAUGUGACCCAAGCUCAUCCCAACAGCUGCCAAAGUGUCUGAAAGUAGAUCCUGGGUCCAUCCUUCUCCAUCCCAGCCUUGGAUCCGUUGCUACUUACUAUGUGAAACUUUUCUGAAAAUAGUAACCUAUUUUGUUUGUAAUGCAGUGGCCUCUAGUAUUCUCCUCUCUACUCCUUCAGCCCUUCUACAGAUGACCCUUUAUGUGAAUGAAGCCUCAGAUAUGUACAGCUUGUCUAAAGAAGCUGGGUUCUAGGAGCCUGCCUCGUGGGAGUUCCCUUGGACUGACACUCCCCUGGACUCCGCCCCCUCACAGCAUGAAGCAGCUAGAGCGGUCAUCGUCCCCUUUCCUGACAAUAAUUGGUGUCAAUCUCUGAAGUGGGGAAUGAAGGCAGGUUAGAUGGACAUAGGUAGACUAGGAAAGUGAGAACAGACUUCCUGACAUAAGGCUUCUUAUUCCCAGAAGACAUUGUGAGACAGGGUAUGGAAGCUGAAACUAUAGGGGAAGGGAGGACAAAGGGGCCCUAUAAAAUACCUAAGCCAGAAGCCUUUUAGAGGAAUUCUACCCUUCGCUAUCACCUAUCCUAUAGGAAUAAAGGUGUU
Mus caroli (Ryukyu mouse) is the source of this 1333-nucleotide non-coding RNA. The record is from RefSeq and is a predicted model, not a curated record. NCBI's taxonomy places the organism in Eukaryota, Metazoa, Chordata, Mammalia, Rodentia, Muridae.